AUGCUGGAAGCACGGCAGCUUUCAAUUUCUGCAGUUCAGCUAAGGAAAUAAAUCCGCUGCUCGCCUGGCGUUUGUUGCUUCCUGUGAUACUACAAACUACUGAGAGAAAAUUAGCAUUUCAUCUCCAAGUAUUUCCUUAACCAAUAUACAUGUCUGUUAAUAAUAUCUCCCAAGAGAAAAAUACAUCAGUAUAUCUAUACUUCACUUCAGUGAAGAAAACCCUGCAUAUUUAGGAAGCAUAGCUUUGCUAUCAGAGAAACUGUCAAGUUAACUGCAGAUGCAUAAUUCUGAAAUAUUCUGCUCGUUUAAAAUUGCCUGAAUGUUCAUAUAUCAUUAGUAAGAAUACUGCAAUUAAUUAGUUACGUAAUUAGUUCAAAAAUGUUGUUGAAACUUCAGUUCCAGCUAAAAGAAUGUUUUCAGGCUCUUUUCUCAGCUUGGUGAUUUUCUGUGCAUUUCUAAGCCUCAGUAAGUUUUUGGGUACACAGUGUUAGUCUGAAGUAUUGUAAGUUAUGCUGACUCCCUCUUGAGCUACUGACCCAAGGCUGGGAGGCACCUCUGGAGUUAUUCAUUCCAACCUCCUUCCUGAGGUAGGAUCAAUGCCAAAUGCAGGUCAGGUUGCUCAGGGCUUUGGGCUGAGUAUGCAGAGUCCACAGACUUUCUGGUUCCCUUUUUCAGUGCUUAAUCCUAGUGAAGAGCUUUUUUUCUUAAGUCCUUGUGAUUCUUGUUCCUCGUCCUUUGAUUGUGCUUCUAAAGGAGGAGCAUGGCUGCCUUUUCUGUAAUCUCCUUUCAGGUAGCAGAAGAGAAUAACCCAAUUCCUCACCAGCUUCUUCAGCUCCAGUCUGAACUUCCCCAGUACUUUCAGCCUCUCUGCAUUCAGAAUGUGCUCCAGUCCAUGCCGAUGGACUUUGGCUGGGCUCUCCCCCAGGAUGUCAGCAAACCAUGAUGGUCCCAUCAGCACCAAGAGCUCCGCAUGGGGAAAUGAGCUGCCUUCGAAAAGCUGCCACAAAGAAGCCAUCUCAGCAUCCAUACACCAGAGCUCGGUCACGGAUGCGACGUCGGGAGCUUUGGAGGCUGUGCCUGUGGGGAGGGCAGCCAGGGGGGCCUCUGAGCUCCUUGGAACAUGGAUUUCCCAUCUGCUGUUGCUCUGGAAAGGGAACUCCAUUGCUGUUCUCCACCAGGCUAUUUCCAGACACAGAAGGAGACACUUCAAUACUGCCUCUGCUCCUUGUAGAUCUGAGCUGACCUCAGCAUUUUUCUCAUCAGCAUGCACUGAGAUGUAUGUCUAG
RNAcentral lists this long non-coding RNA (1286 nucleotides) under Coturnix japonica (Japanese quail). Its description in RNAcentral is "lncRNA (ENSCJPG00005020038.1)". The record is from RNAcentral. Lineage: Eukaryota; Metazoa; Chordata; Aves; Galliformes; Phasianidae.